RNAcentral lists this transfer RNA (86 nucleotides) under Sedimentisphaerales bacterium. RNAcentral describes it as "tRNA-Leu". It matches the Rfam family "tRNA". From Rfam's summary of the family: Transfer RNA (tRNA) molecules are approximately 80 nucleotides in length. Their secondary structure includes four short double-helical elements and three loops (D, anti-codon, and T loops). RNAcentral also lists the same sequence under 1 other name. The record is from RNAcentral. Lineage: Bacteria; Pseudomonadati; Planctomycetota; Phycisphaerae; Sedimentisphaerales.
GCGGAUGUGGCGGAAUUGGCAGACGCGCAGGCUUCAGGUGCCUGAGAGUGGAAACGCUCGUGGAGGUUCAAAUCCUCUCAUCCGCA